RNAcentral lists this ribosomal RNA (494 nucleotides) under uncultured bacterium. RNAcentral describes it as "partial 16S ribosomal RNA". It matches the Rfam family "Bacterial small subunit ribosomal RNA", at positions 28 to 507 of the family's 1533-position model. The record is from RNAcentral.
GACGAACGCUGGCGGCGUGCUUAACACAUGCAAGUCGAACGGUGAAGCGCCUUCCUUUUUGGUGGGUGUGGAUGAGUGGCGAACGGGUGAGUAACACGUGAGUAACCUGCCCCCUUCUUCUGGAUAACCGCAUGAAAGUGUGGCUAAUACGGGAUAUUCUGGGUCUGUCGCAUGAUGGGUCUGGGAAAGAUAUUGUUUCGGUGGGGGAUGGGCUCGCGGCCUAUCAGCUUGUUGGUGGGGUGAUGGCCUACCAAGGCGGUGACGGGUAGCCGGCCUGAGAGGGUGGACGGUCACACUGGGACUGAGACACGGCGCAGACUACUACGGGAGGCAGCAGUGGGGAAUAGUGCACAAUGGGCGCAAGCCUGAUGCAGCGACGCCGCGUGAGGGAUGGAGGCCUUCGGGUUGUGAACCUCUUUCGCCAGUGAAGCAGGCCUGCCUCGUUUGUGGGUGGGUUGACGGUAGCUGGAUAAGAAGCGCCGGCUAACUACGUG